RNAcentral lists this unclassified non-coding RNA (749 nucleotides) under Hevea brasiliensis (rubber tree). Lineage: Eukaryota; Viridiplantae; Streptophyta; Magnoliopsida; Malpighiales; Euphorbiaceae. The record is from RNAcentral.
GUUUUCUCCUGCCUAGUUCCAAUCCUCCUCCAUGCAGAGGGUAUCAAUAGGUCACUGGUAGAAAAUAGCGCCAUCACACUUGGGAGACUUGCUUGGGUCUGUCCAGAGAUUGUGUCGCCACAUAUGGAGCAUUUUAUGCAACCUUGGUGUGCUGCUUUAUCCAUGAUUCGUGAUGAUGUUGAGAAGGAAGAUGCAUUCCGUGGUCUAUUUGCAAUUGUGAGAUUAAAUCCAUCUGGGGCAUUGAAUUCACUGGAGUACAUAUGCAGAGCUAUCGCAAGUUGGCAUGUAAUGAGGAGUGAGGAUCUACACAACGAAAUUUGCCAGGUGUUGCAUGUAUAUAAACAGAUGCUAAGUGAUGGAUCAUGGGAACGCUGCCUAUCAGCUUUGGAGCCUCCAGUUAAGGAUAAAUUAUCGAAAUACCAGGUAUAAUAUUGUUUACCUAGGUGGAUUUGCCCUUUGAGUUUUCAUCAGCGGAGCUGGAUUCAAGGCUUACGGAUUCAAAACUAAGUUUUUGGUCCAAUCCUUCAAAGAUUUAGUUGUGGCAGCAAAGGGUUUAAUGGUGAAAUAUGCGACCUUUUUUUAUUUAAUGUCUCUUUAACAUUGAUUAUCGACUCUUGUAACCCCUUUUUUCUUCGACAAAUGAAGAAUACUAAAGUUGAAAAUCGGAGCAGUGUACAAUCGGGAAACGAGCAAUUUUCAAGCGCUUAGCACACAUUAAUUCCUUUGCUGCCACAACUAAAUCUUUGAAG